GACGAACGCUGGCGGCGUGCUUAACACAUGCAAGUCGAACGGAAAGGCCCUGCUUUUGUGGGGUGCUCGAGUGGCGAACGGGUGAGUAACACGUGAGUAACCUGCCCUUGACUUUGGGAUAACUUCAGGAAACUGGGGCUAAUACCGGAUAGGAGCUCCUGCUGCAUGGUGGGGGUUGGAAAGUUUCGGCGGUUGGGGAUGGACUCGCGGCUUAUCAGCUUGUUGGUGGGGUAGUGGCUUACCAAGGCUUUGACGGGUAGCCGGCCUGAGAGGGUUACCGGCGACAUGGGGACUGAGAUACGGCCCAGACGCCUACGGGAGGCAGCAGUGGGGAAUAUUGCACAAUGGGCGGAAGCCUGAUGCAGCAACGCCGCGUGCGGGAUGACGGCCUUCGGGUUGUAAACCGCUUUCGCCUGUGACGAAGCGUGAGUGACGGUAAUGGGUAAAGAAGCACCGGCUAACUACGUG
Molecule: ribosomal RNA, 468 nt
Filed under: uncultured bacterium
Lineage: Bacteria
Description: partial 16S ribosomal RNA
Rfam family: Bacterial small subunit ribosomal RNA
Source: RNAcentral